Molecule: ribosomal RNA, 460 nt
Filed under: uncultured bacterium
Lineage: Bacteria
Description: partial 16S ribosomal RNA
Rfam family: Bacterial small subunit ribosomal RNA
Source: RNAcentral
CCUACGGGAGACAGCAGUGAGGAAUAUUGGUCAAUGGACGAGAGUCUGAACCAGCCAAGUAGCGUGAAGGAUGAAUGCCCUAUGGGUUGUAAACUUCUUUUAUAUGGGAAUAAAACGUUCCCCGUGUGGGAUUUUGUAUGUACCAUAUGAAUAAGGAUCGGCUAACUCCGUGCCAGCAGCCGCGGUAAUACGGAGGAUCCGAGCGUUAUCCGGAUUUAUUGGGUUUAAAGGGAGCGUAGGUGGAUUGUUAAGUCAGUUGUGAAAGUUUGCGGCUCAACCGUAAAAUUGCAGUUGAAACUGGCAGUCUUGAGUACAGUAGAGGUGGGCGGAAUUCGUGGUGUAGCGGUGAAAUGCUUAGAUAUCACGAAGAACUCCGAUUGCGAAGGCAGUUCACUGGACUGCAACUGACACUGAGGCUCGAAAGUGUGGGUAUCAAACAGGAUUAGAUACCCGGGUAGUC